GACGAACGCUGGCGGCGUGCUUAACACAUGCAAGUCGAACGGAAAGGCCCUGCUUUUGUGGGGUGCUCGAGUGGCGAAAGGGUGAGUAACACGUGAGUAACCUGCCCUUGACUUUGGGAUAACUUCAGGAAACUGGGGCUAAUACCGGAUAGGAGCUCCUGCUGCAUGUUGGGGGUUGGAAAGUUUCGGCGGUUGGGGAUGGACUCGCGGCUUAUCAGCUUGUUGGUGGGGUAGUGGCUUACCAAGGCUUUGACGGGUAGCCGGCCUGUGAGGGUGACCGGCCACCUUGGGACUGAGAUACGGCCCAGACUCCUACGGGAGGCAGCAGUGGGGAAUAUUGCACAAUGGGCGGAAGCCUGAUGCAGCAACGCCGCGUGCGGGAUGACGGCCUUCGGGUUGUAAACCGCUUUCGCCUGUGACGAAGCGUGAGUGACGGUAAUGUGUAAAGAAGCACCGGCUAACUACGUG
This 468-nucleotide ribosomal RNA is filed under the name uncultured bacterium. RNAcentral's name for it is "partial 16S ribosomal RNA". It matches the Rfam family "Bacterial small subunit ribosomal RNA", at positions 28 to 507 of the family's 1533-position model. The record is from RNAcentral.